CCUACGGGUGGCAGCAGUAGGGAAUAUUGCUCAAUGGGGGAAACCCUGAAGCAGCAACGCCGCGUGGAGGAUGAAGGUUUUCGGAUUGUAAACUCCUUUUGUUAGAGAAGAUAAUGACGGUAUCUAACGAAUAAGCACCGGCCAACUCCGUGCCAGCAGCCGCGGUAAUACGGAGGGUGCAAGCGUUACUCGGAAUCACUGGGCGUAAAGAGCGCGUAGGCGGGAUAGCAAGUCAGAUGUGAAAUCCUAUGGCUUAACCAUAGAACUGCAUUUGAAACUGGUAUUCUAGAGUAUGGGAGAGGUAGGUGGAAUUCGUGGUGGAGGGGUGAAAUGCGUAGAGAUCAAGAGGAAUACUCAUUGCGAAGGCGACCUGCUAGAACAUAACUGACGCUGAUGCGCGAAAGCGUGGGGAGCAAACAGGAUUAGAUACCCUAGUAGUC
RNAcentral lists this ribosomal RNA (440 nucleotides) under uncultured bacterium. RNAcentral's name for it is "partial 16S ribosomal RNA". It matches the Rfam family "Bacterial small subunit ribosomal RNA", at positions 338 to 795 of the family's 1533-position model. The record is from RNAcentral.